Molecule: long non-coding RNA, 2024 nt
Organism: Eucalyptus grandis
Lineage: Eukaryota; Viridiplantae; Streptophyta; Magnoliopsida; Myrtales; Myrtaceae
Exons: 2
Source: RefSeq, a predicted model, not a curated record
GAAUUCUUUUGGGUUAAAAAAGGUUUUUCAGUUCUUAAUAUGCAUUUUUUUUCCAUCCAUGGCCAACAGAUAUCCCUUAUAUUACCCUUAAACCACGAAAAAAAUUCAAAGAAGAAGAAGAAGGUGCGCAGUAUCAAACAUUCGGACUGAUACUUCUUCAACUUCGAAGCAAAAUGGCCGUUCGACGUCUCUCAGCUUCAGACGCGAGGACGACCGCCCCUGCUUCCUCCCUCACCUCGACGGGGCUCUGGCUCAAGUAGGCAUCAGCGCCUCCAUCGACAGCGACGACUCGAGGCCCGGGGCACGAGAUCUCGCCCGCGCUCAUGAGGGCCAUUGAGGAGUCCCGAAUCGCCCUCCUUGUCUUCUCUGAGAACCACGCUUCGUCCGGGUGGUGCUUGGACGAGCCGGUGAAGGUAAUGGAGUAGAAGAGGCUCAAGGGGACAGCUGGUGUUGCCUGCGUUCCACGGAGUGGAGCCAAGGGAGAUUUGAGGAGGGGGGGAGAGAGACAGAGAGUUAUGGCAAGGCAUUGGUCUGGUACGAGGAGAAAUUGGGAAAGGUGGAUUCUGAGAAGGUGAAGAAAUGGAGGCAAGCCCUAAUUGAAGCCGCCCAUUUGUCCGGUUGGCAUUAUUAUGUCGAUGGGUAAUCAGAGUAUUCCUGUUCGACCCUGUGGAAGAAUUGGGAACCAAUGCUGUUAGAGGCAAAGUGCUGGACUUGCCAACACAAGUAGAGCUAGACAUCAAUCCGAGUGCUUUCACACAUAUGAGGAGACUGAGAUUGCUCCUAUUUCUAAAUGCACAGCUUAGCGGAGAUCCCGUAUAUCUUCCUAAAGAUUUAAGGUGGCUUGAAUGGCCUGAAUAUCCUUUAUCAACUCUAAGGUUGGUGCUAGUCUAAAGAAACUUGUUUGGUUUGAUGUGCAUAACAGCAGGAUUAAAGAAUUAGGAGAUAAUUUAAAAGUACAUCAUACAUGCUUUUAUUGUCGGUUUCCAUUUUAGGUGCCUUUCAUAAAGUGAAAUUUAUCAAAAUCUUGUUCAGCUGUUCUUUUUAAUUUGCAGCAUUUUAGAAAUUUGAAGUUCCUAAUUUUCAGCUGCUGUAAGUCUCUAAUUAGUGUUCCAGACUUCUCAAAGGUGCCAAAUUUGGAGGCAGUGAACUUAAGUGGGUGCUUGAACCUCAAGGUGCUUCCAAGCAAACCAAAGCUGAAAUAUCUUUAAAACUUGAUGUAACUAGCUGCUCUUGUUAGUAGGUCUGCGUUGAUAUCUAUCAUAAUCUUAUCUUGUUGGUAGGUCUGCAUUGAUAUCUAUUUGUCUUUUUUUCCCCCUCAAAUAUAGUAUGUUGUUUGUUUUUAUGUUGCUCUAGUAGCGACUUGUGGUCUUCACAGGUUUAGAAGUUCCAUGGUUGGAUCGUUGAAGUCAAUUCUUGAAAACAGUAAUUAGCAGGAGACUCUAAUCAAGCCUAACAUAUUACGAGAGACAGCAGACCAAGGGGGGAGAGUUUGUGUUUGUAUUUGAAAAUAUGUGAAAUUCUUGUUAUGUGCCACUUGAGAAGGUAACGUUGUUGGAGUUGUGAAUAUUUUUCCUUUCUGUAUACUACUAGAAAGAAUGAUGUGAACAUGACUUUGUUUUCUUAGUAAUGAGAGAUUAGAAAUGAGAAACUAAGUUUCAGAUGGAUGGCCUCAAUUGAAUGUCAACUGAUCCCAUGUUUAUAAUGCAUCAAUUGUGGGUGCACAGAUGGACAAAUUCUUGCAUGCUAGAAUUGCUCGGACGGAUGACCUACACAUCAGAGAUGGUGGGUAGCUUUGUUGAGUAAAUGGUACUCAGAGAGGGCAUGAAUCCAAGAAGCUCACUCUCUCUACAAAGAAAUGGGUGGUGAUUCUAAGAAUCACAUACAGACAAAAGGCUUCUCUAGAAAACAAUCUAGAACAUUCUUGUACAAUCAAACUUUAGGAUUUUCCAAGUCUCAACUGUUGAUCACGAACAAAAAUUAAGAAUCUCUCUCUCUUCACCUAUAAGAGAUUCCUUUACCUUCAA